RNAcentral lists this ribosomal RNA (1318 nucleotides) under metagenome. RNAcentral's name for it is "bacterial SSU rRNA". It matches the Rfam family "Bacterial small subunit ribosomal RNA", at positions 8 to 1321 of the family's 1533-position model. The record is from RNAcentral.
AGAGUUUGAUCCUGGCUCAGAUUGAACGCUGGCGGUAUGCUUUACACAUGCAAGUCGAACGGAUUAAGAAGCUUGCUUCUUAGUUAGUGGCGAACGGGUGAGUAAUAUAUCGGAACAUAUCCGGAAGUGGGGGGAUAACGUAGCGAAAGUUACGCUAAUACCGCAUAUGCCCUGAGGGGGAAAGGGGGGGAUCGCAAGACCUCUCGCUUUCGGAGUGGCCGAUAUCGGAUUAGCUAGUAGGUGAGGUAAAGGCUCACCUAGGCGACGAUCCGUAGCUGGUCUGAGAGGACGACCAGCCACACUGGAACUGAGACACGGUCCAGACUCCUACGGGAGGCAGCAGUGGGGAAUUUUGGACAAUGGGCGAAAGCCUGAUCCAGCCAUACCGCGUGAGUGAAGAAGGCCUUCGGGUUGUAAAGCUCUUUCAGCCGGAAAGAAAUUGCUUCUAUUAAUACUAGGAGUAGAUGACGGUACCGGAAGAAGAAGCACCGGCUAACUACGUGCCAGCAGCCGCGGUAAUACGUAGGGUGCGAGCGUUAAUCGGAAUUACUGGGCGUAAAGCGUGCGCAGGCGGUUUUUUAAGCCAGAUGUGAAAUCCCCGGGCUUAACCUGGGAACUGCAUUUGGAACUGGAAGACUAGAGUAUAGCAGAGGGAGGUAGAAUUCCACGUGUAGCAGUGAAAUGCGUAGAUAUGUGGAGGAAUACCGAUGGCGAAGGCAGCCUCCUGGGUUAAUACUGACGCUCAUGCACGAAAGCGUGGGGAGCAAACAGGAUUAGAUACCCUGGUAGUCCACGCCCUAAACGAUGUCAACUAGGUGUUGGGGGAGGAGACUUCCUUAGUACCGUAGCUAACGCGUGAAGUUGACCGCCUGGGGAGUACGGUCGCAAGAUUAAAACUCAAAGGAAUUGACGGGGACCCGCACAAGCGGUGGAUUAUGUGGAUUAAUUCGAUGCAACGCGAAAAACCUUACCUACCCUUGACAUGUCAGAAAGAUCGCAGAGAUGUGAUUGUGCUCGAAAGAGAAUCUGAACACAGGUGCUGCAUGGCUGUCGUCAGCUCGUGUCGUGAGAUGUUGGGUUAAGUCCCGCAACGAGCGCAACCCUUGUCAUUAAUUGCCAUCAUUUAGUUGGGCACUUUAAUGAGACUGCCGGUGAUAAACCGGAGGAAGGUGGGGAUGACGUCAAGUCCUCAUGGCCCUUAUGGGUAGGGCUUCACACGUAAUACAAUGGUCGGUACAGAGGGUUGCCAACCCGCGAGGGGGAGCUAAUCUCAGAAAGCCGAUCGUAGUCCGGAUUGGAGUCUGCAACUCGACUCCAU